Molecule: ribosomal RNA, 512 nt
Filed under: uncultured bacterium
Lineage: Bacteria
Description: bacterial SSU rRNA
Rfam family: Bacterial small subunit ribosomal RNA
Source: RNAcentral
ACGCUGGCGGCGUGCCUAAUACAUGCAAGUCGAACGGUCUUUCUAUGGAAGCUUGCUUCCACUGAGAAGAUAGUGGCGAACGGGUGAGUAACACGUGGGUAACCUGCCCAUAAGAGGGGGAUAACAUCCGGAAACGGGUGCUAAUACCGCAUAGUUUUCUUGAUCGCAUGAUUGAGAAAGGAAAGACGGCCUUUGUGCUGUCGCUUAUGGAUGGACCCGCGGCGUAUUAGUUAGUUGGUGAGGUAAUGGCUCACCAAGACGAUGAUACGUAGCCGACCUGAGAGGGUGAUCGGCCACAUUGGGACUGAGACACGGCCCAAACUCCUACGGGAGGCAGCAGUAGGGAAUCUUCCGCAAUGGACGAAAGUCUGACGGAGCAACGCCGCGUGAGUGAAGAAAGGUUUUCGGAUCGUAAAACUCUAUUGUCAGAGAAGAACAAGUUGGAGAGUAACUGCUCCAGCCUUGACGGUAUCUGACCAGAAAGCCACGGCUAACUACGUGCCAGCCGCUGC